GCGAGCAGGGAGGGGGCCGGGCAGGGGCGGCAGAAGUGGCACAGCUGCCAGGGGAGUAGGACUAGGGGUGCGCCUCCACGCGCCGCGGGGCUUGGAAAGGACGCGCGGCCCCCGCCCCCCGCGGCCCCCGCGGCCCCCACCGGGCCGGGCCCGCGCCUGCUGCCGGGCUCAGCGCGAGGAAGGGGGCGGAGGAUGGCGGCGGAGCCAUGGAAACUGUGCCGGGUGGAUAAAUAAGGAGAGGGCCGCCCGAGGCCGUCCCCAGGCUGCCAGCAUCUCGGCGGCGGAUGCAGCGCUCUGGAAGCGCGGCCGAACUCCUACAAGUUUUUCCUCCCGCCCUGCAGCUCCGGGCUGGGGAAGUGGGCGCUUCCUGGAGAGGCAGGCCCCGGCUCGGAGGAAGGCUGGUGGUGGAGACUGGCCCCGGGGGAGGGGAGAGAGCUGCGAGGUGUGGGGCAAAGGAGAGUGUGAAGGUGACUUCGGGCCUCCCGAGGUCAUCGGCUGUUUGUUACCAGCCCGAAUGACGGCACGAGGCCCUGGCGGGUUCUGGCAACCCGAAGAGCCUGGGGAAACCUCUAGAUUCGUGUUCAGAAAGAUGGAUUCGCCCAGUUCAGACACUCAGAACUAACGAAGAGCUAAACCUUGGCGUAAGCGGAGGGGGGGUGGGGGAGGGGUGACGCCGACAACGGGACCUGGACCAGCCUGAAGUGGCACAGGCUGUCCCCAAAGUCAUGCCCACAUCCCCGUCAGGACUCGGAUUGGCAAGAUGGAGAGGGAUGUAAAUGGGUUGACUUGGGCCACGCGGGUGCCCUCCUGCGCGGGAAGCCUGAAGAGCCAGGCGUCCACCGCACCCUUGCCCUGGAAGCUGAUUUGCUAAUCCUCCAGCCUCCCCUGACACUCACGUACCUCAUCUGACUCACUGUGAGGUCACUGAUCCUUUACGCCCAAGUCUAUUGCCUGUAAAGUGCUGGCGAUUUUAAUGGGGGUUUUAUGAAGUUGAGUCACUUCAGGGUGUGGGGCUCUUCAGAGGCAGAGGGGUCACGCCGAGUGAAAGUGAACUACCUUGGCGGAGAAGCCUGUCCACCAGCUGAACGAUUUAAUUACAUGCCAUCUUGAUUUAAAGAGAUUUACGUGCGCGUGAGGACAGCUGGACAGUUACAUGCCGGUAUGGACCUGGAAAUUACUCUUUAACUGGACGAGGUCUAUUUCAUACUGAAAAUGAGUGACCAGUAUUUCUUUCUUUCUUAUUUCUACUUCAAAAUUUUUAGUUCUUUUACUUCUUAAUAGGAAAAAACAGCCUUUUACCCUCUUCCUCUGAAAUAAUUGUGAAAGUUCUCCGCUAGAGCUUCGGUUUCCAGAGAACGCUAGAUCCUCCGGAUGUCCAUAGGUACUUUAGUAUUGGAUUGUUACAGCCAGCGGGCAAGCAGAUGGCAUCACUGCUGAGAGAGGUUCCAGCAUGAAGGAUGAUGCACUGAGCUCCCAGAUCAUAAUUGGAGAAAGUUCCUCACUGUCAGCUUUUGGUUAUGAGACUGUGUGGGUGGAGCUCUUCCUCUGAGAUGAGCCCAUUGGAGACUCCUGUCCUAGGCCUGUACCACUGAGAGAAAGAGAAAGAGAAGUCACGUCUAUCUGAAUGACUGCACAAUGGAACAGCAUGAUCCAGGGCCUGGCACUUGGCCCAGGGCACCUUGCACGUGGUGCCCAGUAAGUGUUUGAAGUGACUUGGGUAACUCGCACCUGUGUGCUGAUGACCUGCCUGUCUUGACUGGAGGCCACCCCUCUCAACAGUUUGCAAGCAACCCCAUGAAGUAGGUGCUGCCACCUCUAAUACAGACGCACAUGAUGUCCCACGCAGUUGUGAUUUAUCCCAGGUCACACAGCAGCAGAGCUGAGGCUGGAAUGCAAGACUCCUGCAUUCAAGGCCAGUGUCUCUCUACCAAACCCAGGAAUCUGAACGUCCUUGGAUAGGAAGAGUCCGUGGGUAUUUCCUGCUUUACCUUCUGUGAACUUGGGCGAGGUACCGCACACUGAGGACCAGGCAGGUUGGAGCUCAGCAGACGGGAAGGUUCUUUCCAGAUCUAGAUUCUGAAGUUCUCUGACGUGACCUCUUCAGGCAGUGUUUACUCUGCAGGUUUUUCUCUCGCCACCACUUUCUGUGGCCCUGCCUCCCCGCUGUACGGGAAGUAAUGUGAGGACAAGAACUGAGUCCUGAGCACCUCCUGCUGCAGCACCCACCCCAACCCCCCCGCCCCGGCCAGGGAAAGCUACUUCUGACGGUAGUACCCAAAAUAAUAUGCUGCUUCUCUGUUGUUAAUUUUGAAGGCAAGACGCUUAUUAUUUAUUAGUCAUUCCGAGACAGCCUAUUUAGAGCACUUAUUGCCUAUUUUGCAAACACACUUGAGUGAUAUGUACAUAUUGUGGUGUUUGACCCUGUAAAUAAGAGUUUAUUAUUAUCCUCAACUGCUCACACUGCCAUAUAAAAAAGUGACAUUAAUAUCUUACAUUUUCCCUCACUGUGGUUAAUGCUAACUAGCAAUCUAUGUUAACCAUUUUCAGACUGUCCUCAUGGGGAGCGAGAAAAAGAACGUCUUAUGCUAUUUGUGAGUGGAAAAUGGCAGACAGUCUAAGGAAAGACAAAUGGUUAAAGUUCGAGUGCUUUUUCCAUUUUCAGAUGUGUGGAACCCCUGUGGAGAUCCUUGUUGGGCAUAGGAGCGGGAGUAACCAAUCUUUGGUGUGCUGGAACUGAUUUUAUACAAACCUGUAAUACUGCCCACACUUGGUUUCAGCAUGAGAUGUCCAGACAGCCUUCUGUGGACUGUGGCCGUGGAAAACCAUCUGCUGAGAUGAGCAAAUCCAGAGUCUACUAAAUACCAGCAAUUGUCCUGCCGAGAACAGUUCUGUGCUCUGUGGGGAUGGGUGAUGCGAGUCAAGGAAAUUAUAGGCUGCCCAGCCACCAGACCUUCUGAAAAGAUUAUGGGGUGACUUACUGAUCUUUAGGUGGGUCAGGGGUUUUGAGGGAAGCUUAGAUUUAAAGCAUGUAGUUAGAGUUGAAAAGACUGGGUUUGGAAUCUCAGAGUUCAAGAGACCAGGCCUGGAGUCUCAGAGAGAUACAGGGUGGAAAGAGCUCCAGGCAAAAAUCUGGGCUCUAGUCCUGGUCCUGACACAGCGGGUGGGUGGACCCCCUCAGAGCCUCUGCACGGCAGCUGGGGCAGCCCCUCCGUCUUACAGAGUAGAAAAGCGCAGCUCAGCAAGCACAGGGGCUUGCUCGAGUCCUCCAGAUGAUUGGAGUGAGAACCAGGACUACAACUCACACGUUUUGAUGUCCCGGCCAGGAUGCUUUCUAAUACUUGAAAUCAUCGAAGUUCAGUACUCCUCUGUCAAAUUUUCUCUUCUUCUUUGGCAGCUUUCCUGGAGCUUCAGAUAUGCUACUUUUAAUACAUUUCAUAUGUAAUGAUGGAGGUGUAACUAGAGACAACCACAAAAAAAGUCAAUACAAGAGAAGGAGUUUGGGAGGUUUCGGUGUGAGUAUUGACCUUUGCCCCUCGUUCUGGGUUGAAGUGUGUUGCUCCCCCAAGUUCAUGUGUUGAACUCUCAACCUUCAGCACCUCAGAAUGUGACCUUAUUUGGAAAUAGGGUCACUGCACAUGUGAUGAGUUAAGAUGAAGUCAUACUGCAGCGGGUGGUCCCCAAUCCCACGUGACUAGUGUCCUUAGAAAGAGAGAAACCUGGACACAGACUCGCACACAGGGAGCACGUCGUGUGAAGAUGAAGGCACAGAUCCGGGUGGUAUUCCUAUGCGCCAAAGGUGGCCAGUAAACCACCGGACGCCAGGAGAGAGCCUGGAACAGAUUCUCCCUCACAUCCUCAGAGGGAAACAAUCCUGCUGGCACCUCGGUUUUGGACUGCUGGCCUCCAGAACUGUGCAACAAGUUUCUGCUGUUUAAGGCACCCGGUCUGUGGUGCUUGGUUGGAGCAGCCCCAGCAGACGCACGUGCUCUCCUCACCUGGUGCCCUUCUCAGAUGAGCACCGCGCUGGUUGUCCAUCGUGUGGUCUUUGUCAGCUUUUUCUCCUACCCAUGUAUUUAAUGCUCUUGAAAAUAUUUUUCUUAGUACUGAAAAGAGCUUGGUAACGGGGAAAAAACUUAGGGAAAAAGUAAGCAUCCAAUUUAAUUUUAAAGACUUUUAGUUUUAGGUUUUUUUGGACACAGAAUGAAAAACAUUCUCUAAAGCAAUUUCUUUAACAAUUUUGUCAAGGACUUUAUUGGCAUUCUCCUGUUUAGCCUACAGACCUAGGGUCAUUUAUCCAUCAAUUUGGUCCCAGAGUUUAUAUUACCUGUGAGAUUUGUGUCAAACUCUCCCUAACAGACAAUGAACUCCUUUUUUUUUGCCCUGAUUACUGCCCUCCCUUCCUAGCCAUGUCAGAAGCGCUCCCAGAGCACCAGGAUCAUUUGUUCUGUAGAGUAGCUGCUAAAAGUUCCCACCUCUUGUGGUGGAUCCCUUCAAGGUCCACUCUCCUAGUGAUGUCCUUGGCCUGAGCUGACCAGUCAGAAGCCAUGUCACAGACAGUCGAGCUGCCCUCUGCAGUCAAGUCCUCACAGGGGUGGCCUGGCAGGGGACCAUCACACGCGUCAGGGCUAUGCUUGCCUUUGUAGAUCCUGAAACUUAGCUUUGUCCCCUCGUUCAGAACUGUUCUAACUGCUUUGUGAGAAUGAAACUCUUAGCAAAAGGACAUGUGAGCCUGCAUGUCAAGAGGUGUGUAUCUGCCUGAGAAUUGGGGUAUCCACGCCGCUAGUGCCGAUGCUGCGUAGCAAGAGCUGGGUCGGAACAAAGGGAGCUGGUGCCUCUGAGAAAGUCUCAUGACCACUCCUGCCCCACAAAGCCGUUAAGUCCUCAUAUUCUGCACAGACCAGCUUACAUCUGUUACCAAAUUCUCCAGACAGGGUCAAAUACAAUUGAUCAGGUUAAAGCUUUCCGUUAGAUUAAUUAUACAGUUAACUAUAUAAAAUUGCCAUUUUUGUGGGUCAAAAACAGCCCGGUGUUGACAAGUUCACAUAGUUCGACCUAAUAGGUUUUUAAACUUUUAAUUUUAAUUUAAUUAUAGAUGAGCAAGAAGUUGCAAAAAUAGAAGUCCCAUGUCCCCAUCACCCAGCUUCCCCCAGUGGUGGCAUCUUACAUGAUAUGGCUCUCUAUCAAAACCAGGACGCUGACGUUGGCACUGUGCACUUGACGAGUUUACAGGUCGUACUUGGAUUUCCCCAACCUAAUAGCUUAGGGGGCUGCUCCGAGUUACUUCCACGGUGACACAUUUAACAAUCUUUCAGGCUCCAUUUAUUUUGUAGAUGAUAGGGCUUUCAUUUUAAAGUUUUUGCAAAUAUUACAUUGUCAAGAUAAGAAUUCAAACAAUACAAUUGUGUAUAAUUGUGUAGCGUGUGAAAGCUUCCUCCUUUCUCUGUCACUCGGUGGAAUUAACUACUGUUAGAAGUUCAAUGGGAAUCUCUCUGCUUUUUUUGUACGGAGAUAUACGUAUGUAACUUCUUAAAAAAUCAUAUUUGUAAAC
Molecule: long non-coding RNA, 5548 nt
Organism: Equus caballus (horse)
Lineage: Eukaryota; Metazoa; Chordata; Mammalia; Perissodactyla; Equidae
Source: Ensembl